GACACUCUCUCUCUCUAGCUCUCACCUCUCCCUCAUCUUCUCUCCUCAAUUUCACCUCCAUGGAGUAUGAUUCCGAACAAAGUCCGAGAAUUAAAGUUGUUCUACGGAACGAGGGCUACCUAUCCAUCCAAGAAAAAUUACGAUCGGAUCACGUAGGAGUUUCGGUUUCGCUCGGAUCUUUGGGGUUUUGCUCAAAACCCAUGAGAGAAGCGUUUGAUGAAUGAGCUGUAUGAUUAUUGGGAUUUGAUUGGCUGUAAUUGAGAAUUGGAAUGAGGAUGUGAUUGCAACGCAAGGGGUGGAAAUGCAGAUUGCAACGCAAGGGGUGGUAAUGCAAAGACCGAAAUAUUGGGUGAUGUUGAUUGCAACGCAAGGGGUGGAAAUGCAAACUGCAACGCAAGGGGUGGAAAUGCAGAGUGACUGAGAUUAUGAGAAGUGUCGAAAUGGUUGUGAACCUAUUGUACACUACAUGGACACAGUCUUGGAGGGUGUGAAGUGCAUGCAGACAUCACAGGCUAAAGUUAUUUUUUGAAGAACUUGUCUUUCCCUUGUAAAUCAAACUGUAUUGUACUAUUUUCUCAAAUUUGGAAUAUUGUAUCAGUUGACAAAAUUGUGAGAUUUAGAAACUGUAUGUUGUAAUUUGGGGUACCGUAUGUACUAUUGUGAGGAUUUGUAUUUAAAAUGGUAUUGUUAUUUAUAUUAAAAA
This is a long non-coding RNA of Rhododendron vialii, 703 nucleotides long. RefSeq lists it as uncharacterized. The record is from RefSeq and is a predicted model, not a curated record. NCBI's taxonomy places the organism in Eukaryota, Viridiplantae, Streptophyta, Magnoliopsida, Ericales, Ericaceae. The transcript is spliced from 3 exons.